RNAcentral lists this ribosomal RNA (454 nucleotides) under Achromobacter sp. NaF-BI-3. RNAcentral describes it as "bacterial SSU rRNA". It matches the Rfam family "Bacterial small subunit ribosomal RNA", at positions 30 to 477 of the family's 1533-position model. Lineage: Bacteria; Pseudomonadati; Pseudomonadota; Betaproteobacteria; Burkholderiales; Alcaligenaceae. The record is from RNAcentral.
AUUGAACGCUAGCGGGAUGCCUUACACAUGCAAGUCGAACGGCAGCACGGACUUCGGUCUGGUGGCGAGUGGCGAACGGGUGAGUAAUGUAUCGGAACGUGCCUAGUAGCGGGGGAUAACUACGCGAAAGCGUAGCUAAUACCGCAUACGCCCUACGGGGGAAAGCAGGGGAUCGCAAGACCUUGCACUAUUAGAGCGGCCGAUAUCGGAUUAGCUAGUUGGUGGGGUAACGGCUCACCAAGGCGACGAUCCGUAGCUGGUUUGAGAGGACGACCAGCCACACUGGGACUGAGACACGGCCCAGACUCCUACGGGAGGCAGCAGUGGGGAAUUUUGGACAAUGGGGGAAACCCUGAUCCAGCCAUCCCGCGUGUGCGAUGAAGGCCUUCGGGUUGUAAAGCACUUUUGGCAGGAAAGAAACGUCAUGGGCUAAUACCCCGUGAAACUGACGGUA